Molecule: transfer RNA, 71 nt
Filed under: Manouria impressa
Lineage: Eukaryota; Metazoa; Chordata; Testudines; Testudinidae
Description: tRNA-Ile
Rfam family: tRNA
About the family: Transfer RNA (tRNA) molecules are approximately 80 nucleotides in length.
Source: RNAcentral
GGACACGUACCUAAACUUAAAGGGCCACCUUGAUAGGGUGAACAGUAGAGGUUGAAAUCCCCUCGUCUCCU